AACGAACGCUGGCGGCAUGCCUAACACAUGCAAGUCGAACGAGACCUUCGGGUCUAGUGGCGCACGGGUGCGUAACGCGUGGGAACCUGCCCUUAGGUUCGGAAUAACUCCCCGAAAGGGGUGCUAAUACCGGAUAAUGUCUUCGGACCAAAGAUUUAUCGCCUUUGGAUGGGCCCGCGUUGGAUUAGCUAGUUGGUAGGGUAAAAGCCUACCAAGGCGACGAUCCAUAGCUGGUCUGAGAGGAUGAUCAGCCACACUGGGACUGAGACACGGCCCAGACUCCUGCGGGAGGCAGCAGUGGGUAAUAUUGGACAAUGGGCGAAAGCCUGAUCCAGCAAUGCCGCGUGAGUGAUGAAGGCCUUAGGGUUGUAAAGCUCUUUUACCCGGGAUGAUAAUGACAGUACCGGGAGAAUAAGCUCCGGCUAACUCCGUG
RNAcentral lists this ribosomal RNA (433 nucleotides) under uncultured bacterium. Its description in RNAcentral is "partial 16S ribosomal RNA". It matches the Rfam family "Bacterial small subunit ribosomal RNA", at positions 29 to 507 of the family's 1533-position model. The record is from RNAcentral.